CAAUAGCGUAUAUUAAAGUUGUUGCAGUUAAAAAGCUCGUAGUUGGAUUUGUGGCGUAUGGUGUGUUCCGGGCACUUGUUGUCUGAGUAACCUGCUGUUGCCAUCCUUGGGUGGAACCUGUGUGGCAUUAGGUUGUCGUGCAGGGGAUGCCCAUCAUUUACUGUGAAAAAAUUAGAGUGUUCAAAGCAGGCUUAUGCCGUUGAAUAUAUUAGCAUAGAAUAAUGAGAUAGGACUUUUUUGCUAUUUUGUUGGUUUGCGCAAGAAGGUAAUGAUUAAUAGGGACAGUUGGGGGUAUUCGUAUUCCAUUGUCAGAGGUGAAAUUCUUGGAUUUUUGGAAGACGAACUACUGCGAAAGCAUUUACCAAGGAUGUUUUCAUUAA
RNAcentral lists this ribosomal RNA (380 nucleotides) under uncultured eukaryote. RNAcentral's name for it is "partial 18S ribosomal RNA". It matches the Rfam family "Eukaryotic small subunit ribosomal RNA", at positions 592 to 976 of the family's 1831-position model. The record is from RNAcentral.